This 258-nucleotide unclassified non-coding RNA is filed under the name Hevea brasiliensis (rubber tree). Lineage: Eukaryota; Viridiplantae; Streptophyta; Magnoliopsida; Malpighiales; Euphorbiaceae. The record is from RNAcentral.
CCGAGGUAGAAGAGUCUGAGGAUUAGCUGGGACAUCCGAACUUUCCUGCCAAGUAUAGUUUAAUUUCAAUGAUAAUGCCGCGAUAUUUCCCCUUUGUCAUUGUGCCAUAUUCUUUUUAUUAAUAUUAUUUUAAUCUUUAAUGAACUUUUCAUAUAACAGUGCUGCAUAAUAUGUUGGUCAUUUAUCCUUCUUCCAAGGUGAAAACUCUGGCCUUACCUCUAGGUAUCUUGUUAGCAUUGUUGUAGUGCUGAAGUUAAA